This 222-nucleotide unclassified non-coding RNA is filed under the name uncultured fungus. Its description in RNAcentral is "sequence contains ITS1, 5.8S rRNA gene". The record is from RNAcentral. Lineage: Eukaryota; Fungi.
UCACGUUCCAAACGUUUAUCAACCAACGCGAACCCUUCGGGUUGCUUUCGGCUGAACGCUUUCUUUAUUGAGAGUGCGACGCUGACUGAAACCUGUUUCCAUUUCAUUAUGGAAACACAUUUUGAUUAACAAUCAAAAACCCCUUUAUACUUAAUUGUACUGAACUGUUUCAUUCUCGCACUUUUUGUGCGAGAUGUAAACAAUAAAUUACGAAACUAUGAA